Non-coding RNA from Callithrix jacchus (white-tufted-ear marmoset), 1081 nucleotides. NCBI's taxonomy places the organism in Eukaryota, Metazoa, Chordata, Mammalia, Primates, Cebidae. The record is from RefSeq and is a predicted model, not a curated record.
AUGGUGACUUUUGGGGACCUGGAACGUCUCGGGGGGCACCUCACCUAUAGUUUGCCACUACGUCUGGGGGAACUCGAACUUAUUGACUUUAUUGCACCAAGUCGUUCAGAUGAACAAGACACCGUGGGGAAGGUGAAGGGCGGAGUCAAUGGAUUUGGUCGUAUUGGGCAUCUGGUCACUAGGACUGCUUUUAACUCUGGUAAAGUGAAUACUGUUACCCUCAAUCAUCCCUUCAUUGACCUCAACUACAUGGUCUACAUGUUCCAGUAUGACUCCACCCAUGGCAAAUUCCAUGGCACUGUCAAGGCUGAGAACGGGAAGCUUGUCAUCAAUGGAAAUCCCAUCACCAUCUUCCAGGAGCGAGAUCCCUCCCAAAUCAAGUGGGGCGAUGCUGGCGCUGAGUACGUGGUGGAGUCCACUGGUGUCUUCACCACCAUGGAGAAAGCUGGGGCUCACUUGCAGGGGAGAGCCAAAAGGUUCAUCAUCUCUGCUCCCUCUGCUGAUGGCCUCAGUUCGUGAUGGGCAUCGUCAGCAAUGCCUCCUGCACCACCAACUGCUUAGCGCCCCUGGCAAACAUCAUCCAUGACAACUCUGGCAUUGAGGAAGGACUCAAGACACAGUCCACGUCAUCACUGCCACCUAGAAGACUGUGGACGGCCCCUCUGGGAAAACUGUGGUAUGAUGGCUGUGGGGCUCUCCAGAACAUCAUCCCUGCCUCUGCUGGUGCUGCCAAGACCAUGGGCAAGGUCAUCCCUUAGCUGAACAAGCUCACUGGCAUGGCCUAAUGUGCCCCACUGCCAACAUGUCAGUGGUAGACCUGACCUGCCGUCUGGAAAAACCUGCCAAAUAUGAUAUCGUGGUGAAGCAGGCGUCAGAGGACCCCCUCCAGGGCAUCCUGGGCUACACUGAGCACCAGGUGGUCUCCUCUGACUUCAACAGCAACACCCACCCUGACAUUGCCCUCUAUGAGCACUUUUCAAGCUCAGUUCCUGGCAUGACAAUGAAUUUGGCUACAGCAACAGUGUGGUGGACCUCAUGUCCCACAUGGCCUCCAAGGAGUAAGACCCCUAUGAGAGCAUGA